This 335-nucleotide unclassified non-coding RNA is filed under the name soil metagenome. Its description in RNAcentral is "partial contains 5.8S ribosomal RNA, internal transcribed spacer 2, and large subunit ribosomal RNA". The stretch from base 1 to 120 matches the Rfam family "5.8S ribosomal RNA", at positions 35 to 154 of the family's 154-position model. The record is from RNAcentral.
GAUGAAGAACGCAGCGAAAUGCGAUAAGUAAUGUGAAUUGCAGAAUUCAGUGAAUCAUCGAAUCUUUGAACGCACAUUGCGCCCGCCAGUAUUCUGGCGGGCAUGCCUGUUCGAGCGUCAUUUCAACCAUCAAGCCCCCGGCUUGUGUUGGGGACCUGCAGCUGCCGCAGGCCCUGAAAACCAGUGGCGGGCUCGCUAGUCACUCCGAGCGUAGUAAUACAUCUCGCUCAGGGCGUGCUGCGGGUUCCGGCCGUUAAAAAGCCUUAUUUACCCAAGGUUGACCUCGGAUCAGGUAGGAAGACCCGCUGAACUUAAGCAUAUCAAUAAGCGGAGGA